AGUGAACGCUGGCGGUAGGCCUAACACAUGCAAGUCGAACGGCAGCACAGUAAGAGCUUGCUCUUACGGGUGGCGAGUGGCGGACGGGUGAGGAAUACAUCGGAAUCUACUUUUUCGUGGGGGAUAACGUAGGGGAACUUACGCUAAUACCGCAUACGACCUACGGGUGAAAGCAGGGGAUCUUCGGACCUUGCGCGAUUGAAUGAGCCGAUGUCGGGUUAGCUAGUUGGCGGGGUAAAGGCCCACCAAGGCGACGAUCCGUAGCUGGUCUGGGAGGCUGAUCAGCCACACUGGACCGGAGAAACGGUCCAGACUCCUACGGGAGGCAGCAGUGGGUAAUAUUGGACAAUGGGGGCAGGCCUGUUCCAGCCAUGCCGCGUGGGUGAAGAAGGCCUUCGGGUUGUAAAGCCCUUUUGUUGGGAAAGAAAAGCAGCAGGUUAAUACCCCGCUGUUCGGACGGUACCCAAAGAUUAAGCACGGCUUAAUUUCUG
Molecule: ribosomal RNA, 491 nt
Filed under: uncultured bacterium
Lineage: Bacteria
Description: partial 16S ribosomal RNA
Rfam family: Bacterial small subunit ribosomal RNA
Source: RNAcentral